GGUUGAUCCUGCCAGUAGUCAUAUGCUUGUCUCAAAGAUUAAGCCAUGCAUGUCUAAGUAUAAACAACUUUAUACUGUGAAACUGCGCACAGCUCAUUAUAUCAGCAAUAAUUUAUUUGAUGGUACCUUACUACUUGGAUAACCGUAGUAAUUCUAGAGCUAAUACAUGCGUAAAGUCCCGACUCUUGCGGGGAGGGAUGUAUUUAUUAGAUAAAAAACCAAUGCGGUCUUCGGGCCGGUAUUGUGGUGAAUCAUAAUAACUGAUCGAAUCGCAUAGCCUUGUGCUGGCGAU
Molecule: ribosomal RNA, 292 nt
Filed under: uncultured eukaryote
Lineage: Eukaryota
Description: partial 18S ribosomal RNA
Rfam family: Eukaryotic small subunit ribosomal RNA
Source: RNAcentral